UUCACCUGCACUGUGGCCCACCCGGCCAGUAAGACCAAGGUGGACAAGCAAGUAAAGCCCAAACCAAAUGGCAUUGGCGGCUCCUGUAAGGAAUGUCCCAAAUGUCCAGUCCCUGAAACGCUGGGAGGACCUUCGGUCUUCAUCUUCCCCCCCAAACCCAAGGACACCCUCUCGAUUACCCGAACCCCCGAAGUCACAUGCGUGGUGGUGGACCUGGAAGACCCUGAGGUCCAGAUCAGCUGGUUCAUGGGUGACCAGGAGGUGCACACAGCCAAUACGAAGAAGCCUGAGGAGCAGUUCAACAGCACCUACCGUGUGGUCAGUGUCCUCCCCAUCGUGCACCAGGACUGGCUCAAGGGGAAGGAGUUCAAAUGCAAGGUCAACAGCAAAGCCCUCCCAUCCCCCAUCCAGAGGACCAUCUCCAAGGCCAGAGGGCAGGCCCAUCAGCCCAAUGUGUACGUCCUGCCCCCAUCCCGGGACGAGAUGAACAAGAACACAGUCAGCGUGACCUGCCUGGUCAAAGACUUCUACCCAUCUGAGGUUGAUGUCGAGUGGCAGAGCAAUGGCCAGCAGAUGCCAGAAAGCAGUAUCCGAACAACCCCACCCCAGCUGGAUGCAGAUGGGACCUACUUCCUCUACAGCAAGCUCUCAGUGGACAAGAACCGAUGGCAGCGGGGAGAGGUCAUCACGUGUGUGGUCAUGCAUGAAGCUCUAGUGAAGUGGAUCUUCUCCUCGGUGGUGGAGCUGAAGCGCACGAUCGUGCCCGACUAUAGGAACAUGAUCGGGCAGGGGGCCUAG
This is a non-coding RNA of Leptonychotes weddellii (Weddell seal), 798 nucleotides long. The record is from the annotation of a RefSeq genome assembly. Lineage: Eukaryota; Metazoa; Chordata; Mammalia; Carnivora; Phocidae.